This 87-nucleotide transfer RNA is filed under the name Streptomyces phage Daubenski. RNAcentral describes it as "tRNA-Ser". The record is from RNAcentral. Lineage: Duplodnaviria; Heunggongvirae; Uroviricota; Caudoviricetes; Stanwilliamsviridae.
GGAGAGUAAGCGAUUGGCUAGCGGGCAUCCUGGAAAGGUGCUAAGAGGUAUCCCCUCGGCUGGGUUCGAUUCCCAGGCUUUCCUCCA